CAAAGGCUUGGUCCUGACUUUACUAUCAACUCUAGCUAAACUUACACAUGCAAGUAUCCGCACUCCCGUGAGAAUGCCCUAACAGUUCCCUGCCCGGGAACAAGGAGCCGGCAUCAGGCACAUAACCCCAUAGCCCAUAACGCCUUGCUUAGCCACACCCUCAAGGGAAUUCAGCAGUGAUAGACAUUAAGCAAUAAGUGAAAACUUGACUUAGUUAAAGCUAAGAGGGCCGGUAAAACUCGUGCCAGCCACCGCGGUUAUACGAGAGGCUCAAGUUGAUAGACCACGGCGUAAAGCGUGGUUAAGGAAGACUAUAAGACUAAAGCCGAAUGCCCUCAGAGCUGUUAUACGCUCACGAUGGUUAGAAGCUCGAUCACGAAAGUAGCUUUACACAACCUGAACCCACGAAAGCUAUGGCACAAACUGGGAUUAGAUACCCCACUAUGCUUAGCCCUAAACAUCAAUAGUACAAUACACCCACUAUUCGCCCGGGAACUACGAGCAUUAGCUUAAAACCCAAAGGACUUGGCGGUGCUUUAGAUCCACCUAGAGGAGCCUGUUCUAGAACCGAUAACCCCCGUUUAACCUCACCCUUCCUUGCUCCUUUCCGCCUAUAUACCGCCGUCGCCAGCUUACCCUAUGAAGGACCCACAGUAAGCAAAAUUGGCACAGCCCAGAACGUCAGGUCGACGUGUAGCGUAUGGAGGGGGAAGAAAUGGGCUACAUUCCCUAAUACAGUGAAUACGAAAGAUGCACUGAAACGUGCGCCAUGAAGGAGGAUUUAGCAGUAAGCAGGAAAUAGAGUGUCCUGCUGAAAUUGGCCCUGAAGCGCGCACACACCGCCCGUCAUUCUCCCCGAGCUUAAAAACUCACUUAACUAAAACCCCAGACUCGCUAAGGGGAGGCAAGUCGUAACAUGGUAAGUGUACCGGAAGGUGCACUUGGAACAAA
This 951-nucleotide non-coding RNA is filed under the name Mesopristes cancellatus (tapiroid grunter). RNAcentral's name for it is "12S ribosomal RNA". It matches the Rfam family "Bacterial small subunit ribosomal RNA". Lineage: Eukaryota; Metazoa; Chordata; Actinopteri; Centrarchiformes; Terapontidae. The record is from RNAcentral.